RNAcentral lists this ribosomal RNA (743 nucleotides) under uncultured bacterium. RNAcentral describes it as "bacterial SSU rRNA". It matches the Rfam family "Bacterial small subunit ribosomal RNA", at positions 94 to 823 of the family's 1533-position model. The record is from RNAcentral.
AGCGGCGGAUGGGUGAGUAACACGUGGGGAACCUGCCCCUAAGUCUGGGAUACCAUUUGGAAACAGGUGCUAAUACCGGAUAAUAAAGCAGAUCGCAUGAUCAGCUUUUGAAAGGCGGCGUAAGCUGUCGCUAAGGGAUGGCCCCGCGGUGCAUUAGCUAGUUGGUAAGGUAACGGCUUACCAAGGCGACGAUGCAUAGCCGAGUUGAGAGACUGAUCGGCCACAUUGGGACUGAGACACGGCCCAAACUCCUACGGGAGGCAGCAGUAGGGAAUCUUCCACAAUGGACGCAAGUCUGAUGGAGCAACGCCGCGUGAGUGAAGAAGGUUUUCGGAUCGUAAAGCUCUGUUGUUGGUGAAGAAGGAUAGAGGUAGUAACUGGCCUUUAUUUGACGGUAAUCAACCAGAAAGUCACGGCUAACUACGUGCCAGCAGCCGCGGUAAUACGUAGGUGGCAAGCGUUGUCCGGAUUUAUUGGGCGUAAAGCGAGCGCAGGCGGAAAAAUAAGUCUAAUGUGAAAGCCCUCGGCUUAACCGAGGAACUGCAUCGGAAACUGUUUUUCUUGAAUGCAGAAGAGGAGAGUGGAACUCCAUGUGUAGCGGUGGAAUGCGUAGAUAUAUGGAAGAACACCAGUGGCGAAGGCGGCUCUCUGGUCUGCAACUGACGCUGAGGCUUGAAAGCAUGGGUAGCGAACAGGAUUAGAUACCCUGGUAGUCCAUGCCGUAAACGAUGAGUGCUAAGUGU